This is a non-coding RNA of Pelobates cultripes (western spadefoot toad), 107 nucleotides long. Lineage: Eukaryota; Metazoa; Chordata; Amphibia; Anura; Pelobatidae. The record is from the annotation of a GenBank genome assembly.
UCGACGUUUCAGCCACACUACAUGGCUUUCAUCAGGAUCUUUACAGCUCAAAAACCUUUUUGAGCUGUAAAGAUCCUGAUGAAAGCCAUGUAGUGUGGCUGAAACGU